GGGUUGUGAGGUUAAGCGACUAAGCGUACACGGUGGAUGCCCUGGCAGUCAGAGGCGAUGAAGGACGUGCUAAUCUGCGAAAAGCGUCGGUAAGGUGAUAUGAACCGUUAUAACCGGCGAUGUCCGAAUGGGGAAACCCAGUGCAAUUCGUUGCACUAUCGUUAACUGAAUACAUAGGUUAACGAGGCGAACCGGGGGAACUGAAACAUCUAAGUACCCCGAGGAAAAGAAAUCAACCGAGAUUCCCCCAGUAGCGGCGAGCGAACGGGGAGCAGCCCAGAGUCUGAAUCAGCUUGUGUGUUAGUGGAACGGUCUGGAAAGUCCGACGGUACAGGGUGAUAGUCCCGUACACCAAAAUGCACAGGCUGUGAACUCGAAGAGUAGGGCGGGACACGUGGUAUCCUGUCUGAAUAUGGGGGGACCAUCCUCCAAGGCUAAAUACUCCUGACUGACCGAUAGUGAACCAGUACCGUGAGGGAAAGGCGAAAAGAACCCCGGCGAGGGGAGUGAAAAAGAACCUGAAACCGUGUACGUACAAGCAGUGGGAGCACCUUCGGGUGUGACUGCGUACCUUUUGUAUAAUGGGUCAGCGACUUAUAUUCUGUAGCAAGGUUAACCGUAUAGGGGAGCCGCAGGGAAACCGAGUCUUAACUGGGCGUUAAGUUGCAGGGUAUAGACCCGAAACCCGGUGAUCUAGCCAUGGGCAGGUUGAAGGUUGGGUAACACUAACUGGAGGACCGAACCGACUAAUUGAAAAAUUAGCGGAUGAACUUGUGGCUGGGGGUGAAAGGCCAAUCAAACCGGGAGAUAGCGUGGUUCUCCCCG
Molecule: ribosomal RNA, 825 nt
Filed under: Klebsiella pneumoniae
Lineage: Bacteria; Pseudomonadati; Pseudomonadota; Gammaproteobacteria; Enterobacterales; Enterobacteriaceae
Description: bacterial LSU rRNA
Rfam family: Bacterial large subunit ribosomal RNA
Source: RNAcentral